Molecule: ribosomal RNA, 483 nt
Filed under: uncultured bacterium
Lineage: Bacteria
Description: partial 16S ribosomal RNA
Rfam family: Bacterial small subunit ribosomal RNA
Source: RNAcentral
AUUGAACGCUGGCGGCAGGCCUAACACAUGCAAGUCGAGCGGAUGAAGGGAGCUUGCUCCUGGAUUCAGCGGCGGACGGGUGAGUAAUGCCUAGGAAUCUGCCUGGUAGUGGGGGAUAACGUCCGGAAACGGGCGCUAAUACCGCAUACGUCCUGAGGGAGAAAGUGGGGGAUCUUCGGACCUCACGCUAUCAGAUGAGCCUAGGUCGGAUUAGCUAGUUGGUGGGGUAAAGGCCUACCAAGGCGACGAUCCGUAACUGGUCUGAGAGGAUGAUCAGUCACACUGGAACUGAGACACGGUCCAGACUCCUACGGGGGGCAGCAGUGGGGAAUAUUGGACAAUGGGCGAAAGCCUGAUCCAGCCAUGCCGCGUGUGUGAAGAAGGUCUUCGGAUUGUAAAGCACUUUAAGUUGGGAGGAAGGGCAGUAAGUUAAUACCUUGCUGUUUGGACGUUACCAACAGAAUAAGCACCGGCUAACUUCGU